RNAcentral lists this long non-coding RNA (201 nucleotides) under Elaeis guineensis (African oil palm). Its description in RNAcentral is "long non-coding RNA (EGUI_LNC069666)". Lineage: Eukaryota; Viridiplantae; Streptophyta; Magnoliopsida; Arecales; Arecaceae. The record is from RNAcentral.
CUCCCACAUUCACAAAAGGUCUCCUCUCUUCUUUCUUACAUGGAAGGUGGUUUGGAUCAAAUCUAAAAGGAAUAAGUUUGGAUUUCGAAUUCUAUGAGAUCGAGUUUUAGAAAUCCAAAACUCUUUCAAUUUUGCACCAAAUUUAUCCAAAUUUUUUUUGGAAUUUUUGUGGAUUUUAUGGUAUACAUUGUGCACCCUUUU